RNAcentral lists this ribosomal RNA (253 nucleotides) under uncultured bacterium. RNAcentral's name for it is "partial 16S ribosomal RNA". It matches the Rfam family "Bacterial small subunit ribosomal RNA", at positions 524 to 776 of the family's 1533-position model. The record is from RNAcentral.
UACGUAGGGUGCAAGCGUUGUCCGGAAUUAUUGGGCGUAAAGAGCUCGUAGGCGGCUUGUCGCGUCGGCUGUGAAAACCUGGGGCUCAACCCCGGGCCUGCAGCCGAUACGGGCAAGCUAGAAUUCGGUAGGGGAGACUGGAAUUCCUGGUGUAGCGGUGAAAUGCGCAGAUAUCAGGAGGAACACCAAUGGCGAAGGCAGCUCGCUGGGACGGUACUGGCGCUGAAGCGCGAAAGCGUGGGGAGCAAACAGG